RNAcentral lists this ribosomal RNA (240 nucleotides) under uncultured Lactobacillus sp. RNAcentral's name for it is "partial 16S ribosomal RNA". It matches the Rfam family "Bacterial small subunit ribosomal RNA", at positions 122 to 356 of the family's 1533-position model. Lineage: Bacteria; Bacillati; Bacillota; Bacilli; Lactobacillales; Lactobacillaceae. The record is from RNAcentral.
UAACCUGCCCAAGAGAUCGGGAUAACACCUGGAAACAGAUGCUAAUACCGGAUAAUAACAGAUGAUGCCUAUCAACUGUUUAAAAGAUGGUUCUGCUAUCACUCUUGGAUGGACCUGCGGUGCAUUAGCUAGUUGGUAGGGUAACGGCCUACCAAGGCGAUGAUGCAUAGCCGAGUUGAGAGACUGAUCGGCCACAUUGGGACUGAGACACGGCCCAAACUCCUACGGGAGGCAGCAGUG